Non-coding RNA from Cafeteria roenbergensis, 73 nucleotides. Lineage: Eukaryota; Bigyra; Bicosoecida; Cafeteriaceae. The record is from the annotation of a GenBank genome assembly.
GGGGAUAUAGUUCAGUUGGUAGAAUAGGUGCUUUGCAUGUACUUGGUCAUCGGUUCGAGUCCGAUUAUCUCCA